Gasterosteus aculeatus aculeatus (three-spined stickleback) is the source of this 1342-nucleotide long non-coding RNA. The record is from Ensembl. Lineage: Eukaryota; Metazoa; Chordata; Actinopteri; Perciformes; Gasterosteidae.
GUGACAUUCUGGGUCCGUUCUGGUCUCAAAUCGAGUAUAUAGAAUGAAUAUAAAAUCCCUAGUUUACGGUUGGAUUAAGAUCAUUGUUUCUUCCAUCAAUUUAUUCUGAUCAUUUGAUAAUUUUCACAACAUCAAAAGCAACGCGCCCUCCCCUCCACCCCAAAUGCCUCAUUGCCCUUGUGUUUUCUGCAUUAAACAACAAACGAGUCAAUUCGUCCAUCUUUGCCAUUUUAAAUGCAUCCACAUACCUAAACCAGGUUUAAGAUCUUACAGCCACAUCGAGCAGGCCGGUGUUUUGCGAGGGCCGCUACCGUCAAACGGUCUGGUCCAAAAAAAGUAUAGCUCAAAACUUAAGAAGUUGUUCACACAAGAGAAACUAUAAUCUUGCCCAACCGGCUGAGAAGUGAAGCUGUUUGUUCUAGAGAACAUUCUUAAAUGUUCAGGUUAGAAAAGUGCAAAAUGUGGCAUUUAGGAGUCGUCGUGUUCGCUAUCUGUACGGGCUAAUGGUUUGUUUACCACGUAGCUGACAUAGCGGAUUAGAAGCAAUGAAUUAUUAAUGGGAUGAUCGUUUCCUGUCGAUUACAGUGCAGUAAUGGGCCGUGUAGAGCCGCAUUGUGUGGCGCUGUAAGUCACGUGCCUCUUUAUAAGGGAAAUCACAGCGUGAGGGACAAAGACAAAAACCUGCACACACAAAGGAUUGAACACGAGCGUGUGCACCGGGAAGCUGCUCGCACACACUGCGGAGACGGGAAUCGUCUUUGUGAACACGGCUUCGGGUGAAUAAUGAGUGGAGGCGGCAUGCCGAGGUGUGAGGAUCACCAUUCCUCGUCAGAGGGUGGAGGCGGUCCGCCGGGACCUCCACACAGACCCGACGGAGAAGGGAGGGCAGCCAAUCAAACAAUCGUCCCUUUUAGUGGUGUCAAGAGCGACGAGGACGCAGUGUCGGGCACACGAGACAACAAACACGACGGCUCUCUGACGGCUUUGUUUCCACGACGGGAUUCUGUGAUGUGAUCCGUUUGGGGACCGUAGGACCGUUUUAUACGAUGACUUCAAGCCGUCUGCCCGCACACUUUGCCACGUGUUUGGGAAGUUUGGACGAAGGUUUGUCUACGACGCCUCCCGGCCCGUCAGAGAUCAGCCAAUCGUGGGGCGUAUUCAUUCUGCAGAGACGCUGCUGGGGGACACCUGCACACUAGUGGACCUUCCGUAUUUAAAAAGUAGAUUAUGUGAUUCGAGCGCUUUGCGAGCAUCCACGUUCAACCGCGCGAAGGCAGCGACAACAAUCGAUUGACUGUGUUCAUACUGGCGCACAAACAUCCAUUUGGCCAGCGGGGGGGGA